Molecule: long non-coding RNA, 807 nt
Filed under: Dendronephthya gigantea
Lineage: Eukaryota; Metazoa; Cnidaria; Anthozoa; Malacalcyonacea; Nephtheidae
Description: uncharacterized LOC114518476, transcript variant X2
Source: RNAcentral
AUGCUCAGUUCACGAUGAGCUUCUCUCUCGAUCUAUUCAAUAUGGUGGUCAAUCAAGAAAUGUUUUUGCUUGCAAAAAGAUCGUAAAAUGUUGGCGCUACAAGCUCGGAAAAGAAGGAAGCAUCCAAACAAAUUCAUUUGUAACAUGGUGGAUAACAAAGUCCCUCCUUGAAAACCUACUUCAGUCAUUUGACGAUUAAAAGUCCAGCGAGAAAUGAAGUGAAAGGCGAUUUGAAAACCACGAGAUUGGUGGCGAUCGAAGGUGGACAGCAAGAUCGAAGCUCAGCAAGAUUGAAGAUUGUUCGAAGAAGAAGGAGUUCGCCGUUGACUAAAAGGUUUAUCUGAACAGCUAGUUGUCAAGAUGAAUGCGAAGACGCCCGGCCAAAUUCAAAAUGGCGAUGCCAAAGAAAACCAUCCACCUGGACCGUUCGCAGACCUUUCUGGGCAAGAUUGUUGUGCUGUCUGGUCAAAGUUAAGUAUUUUACUUUGAUGUUUGUGUGCCUUCGGCUAAUUGUUGGCCAGAAAUGACAAAAAGCCAUAUACAAUAUGAAAUAUUCUGCGUACAAGGUUAUCUAAAAUUUCGAACUUAAUUCUGCCUGCAAUGAUGAUAAUCUUUUACUGAAAAUUUAUGUCAUGAGCAACUUCCGCACCUAUAGACUGAAGCAGAACUGAACAUUUUGUCAUUAACGUUUAUCUCAACAGCCAGUUAUCAAGACGAACGUCAAGAGAACAGUUGAAAUAGAAAAUAGAAAUCAGUUCAAGACUCGCCGCCGCCGAAUUCAAAUGGCGAUCCCAUACACGUGGACCG